Molecule: ribosomal RNA, 253 nt
Filed under: uncultured bacterium
Lineage: Bacteria
Description: partial 16S ribosomal RNA
Rfam family: Bacterial small subunit ribosomal RNA
Source: RNAcentral
UACGUAGGUGGCAAGCGUUGUCCGGAUUUAUUGGGUUUAAAGGGUGCGUAGGCGGCUUUGUAAGUCAGUGGUGAAAUAUGGCAGCUCAACUGUCAGGGUGCCAUUGAUACUGCGGAGCUUGAGUACAGAUGAGGUAGGCGGAAUUGACGGUGUAGCGGUGAAAUGCUUAGAUAUCGUCAAGAACACCGAUAGCGAAGGCAGCUUACUAGGCUGUAACUGACGCUGAGGCACGAAAGUGUGGGGAUCAAACAGG